This 497-nucleotide ribosomal RNA is filed under the name uncultured bacterium. Its description in RNAcentral is "partial 16S ribosomal RNA". It matches the Rfam family "Bacterial small subunit ribosomal RNA", at positions 28 to 507 of the family's 1533-position model. The record is from RNAcentral.
GACGAACGCUGGCGGCGUGCCUAAUACAUGCAAGUUGAGCGAUGAAGAUUGGUGCUUGCACCAAUUUGAAGAGCAGCGAACGGGUGAGUAACGCGUGGGGAAUCUGCCUUUGAGCGGGGGACGACAUUUGGAAACGAAUGCUAAUACCGCAUAACAACUUUAAACAUAAGUUUUAAGUUUGAAAGAUGCAAUUGCAUCACUCAAAGAUGAUCCCGCGUUGUAUUAGCUAGUUGGUGAGGUAAAGGCUCACCAAGGCGAUGAUACAUAGCCGACCUGAGAGGGUGAUCGGCCACAUUGGGACUGAGACACGGCCCAAACUCCUACGGGAGGCAGCAGUAGGGAAUCUUCGGCAAUGGACGAAAGUCUGACCGAGCAACGCCGCGUGAGUGAAGAAGGUUUUCGGAUCGUAAAACUCUGUUGGUAGAGAAGAACGUUGGUGAGAGUGGAAAGCUCAUCAAGUGACGGUAACUACCCAGAAAGGGACGGCUAACUACGUG